UAGUGACAAAGAAAGAGAAGAAAGUAUUAAAGAAAUGUGAACAAAAGAUUUGGUAAUUACAGCCGAGCCGCGAGUGUUUUAUGUGCACUUGCAUAAUUAACUCUGUACUGUGUAUGCAUCAGUCGGCAUUUCUACUGAGUCUAAGAUGUUUGCUUACGUAAAAGUGUUAACAGGCGCCCACAAGGAACAAAAAAAAUCUGUGAAUACAGAUAAAUUAUUAAACUUUCACAAAGAUUCACAUCAAAGUAAUAAAAAAUAUUCCAUGAAAUGCGAUGGUAAAGAUGAGGAGGUAGUUAUAUUAUUAUUAGCAGAAACCAAAAAGCAAUUAGAGUAUUCAAAAGAAUGAUCAAAAAACAAGAGUUAAAAGUACACCAAAAAAGUUUUUGGUAACAGCGUCAUCAGGUGAGAGCGAGCCUGCUGGGAGAAAAAAGCAUGCACUACGUAAGACAUUAACUAAAGUGAUGGAUCCACAAGCACUAUCCACAAGUAUAUUAGAUCAUCUGACAUUGAAAAAUGAUGUAAGAGCCAAGAUUGCCAAAUUCAAAAACAGUGCAUCAGCCAGUCAAUCUAUGAAGUUGGAUAACACGAAAACAAUAUUACAACCUAAUAAUAAUGACACUUUUGACGAUGUAAAUGAAAAUAAUAUGAACACCAGAUAGCAUUUGUCACAUAAUAGAACUAACAUCCAAGAAGCCCCGAACAAAGGAAACAAUGACAUUAUUACCACAUCAGUAUCAGGGAAAGAAAAUGUCAAUAGUACAUACACUACCACACCAGUAUCGUCCAAUAGUUCUACGAAACCAGGAAUUGUCGAUACUGCUAGCACAUCAGCAUCAAAAAAGCAAAGUGGCAAGCCUACCAAACCAUCAUCCGUAAAAGAAACUUUAGUUAAAAUUAAACAUAUCGAAGACGUACAUUCAAGCAAAGAAUGCUCAGAAAACUUGAAAAUUAUUCAGGAAUUAAAAGAAAGGAACACAAAGUUAACUAUAGAAGUAGAAAAGCUUUCAAACGAAAUUGCAACAGUUCAAAAGCAAAAAGAUAUUUACAAGAAAAAAUACGCACAACAGGCAGCUGAAUGCCAAAAAUUGACAACUCUAAAUCAACAAAUACAAAUGACAAUGAUUGAAAACGCAAAGGAAAAAAAUAGAUGUUUGACAGACUCCUUGCUGCCCAAAAAAACGUUAGCUUGGAACUUAAUUUUCCUGCUAUUGGUUACUUAAAGACAACGAAUGAUAUCCCAAUGGUAGAGGAAGAUAAAAUCAUUCAUUUUAUAGCUGACAAUGUCGAUUAUGAUGUACGUACUAUUGAUGGGAACGGCACUUUUUAUGGCAUGAGAAUAGUUUCUGCCGUUACACGGAAUCUUAAAAAAAAAUAUUUGACGUGCCACGAAAAAAAGUUGAUACAAAUGCAUUGAAAGCAAUUGAAUCUAUUCAGUUUUGUCAUUUUAAUGAAAAAACAUCGAAAGGCUUUUUAUUUUCAGAUUCACCCAGAAUUUUAGAAAGUAAUGAAUAUAGUAUUGAUAUGCUAUGGUAUUUAUCAUGAUUUUUCAAUAAAUCUCAAACUGGUUGGUCGGCAUAUAUGCAAACUCUACAUAAAGAAAAUAGUUCUAAAAAAGCAGCCAUAUUUUUUUAUCUUAUGAUUAAUCAAAAGCCAAGCGAUUUGUCAUGUGCAUAUUCCAUACUUAUAUUUGUUUGCGAAGAGCUAAAAAGUAGAAUGUAAAGCCAGUUAUUACGAGGAGCAAGAAUAUAGUAUUUUAAAAACUAUUUAUUUAUUUAUUCAAAUCAGAUAGAUUUACAUAGUAUUUGAAACACUAACCGUAACCCCGCAGAGAUAAACAUAGUUAUCUGUUCGCAGGUAUGGGCUCACAUAACAGAAAACUAUACCGUAGAAUACUUAAUUACUAAAAUUUAAAACU
This is a long non-coding RNA of Nasonia vitripennis (jewel wasp), 1915 nucleotides long. RefSeq lists it as uncharacterized. NCBI's taxonomy places the organism in Eukaryota, Metazoa, Arthropoda, Insecta, Hymenoptera, Pteromalidae. The transcript has 7 exons. The record is from RefSeq and is a predicted model, not a curated record.